UACGUAGGGUGCAAGCGUUAAUCGGAAUUACUGGGCGUAAAGCGUGCGCAGGCGGUGAUGUAAGACAGAUGUGAAAUCCCCGGGCUCAACCUGGGAACUGCAUUUGUGACUGCAUUGCUAGAGUAUGGGAGAGGGAAGCGGAAUUUCUGGUGUAGCAGUGAAAUGCGUAGAUAUCAGAAGGAACAUCAGUGGCGAAGGCGGCUUCCUGGACCAAUACUGACGAUCAGGUGCGAAAGCGUGGGGAGCAAACAGG
This 253-nucleotide ribosomal RNA is filed under the name uncultured bacterium. RNAcentral's name for it is "partial 16S ribosomal RNA". It matches the Rfam family "Bacterial small subunit ribosomal RNA", at positions 524 to 776 of the family's 1533-position model. The record is from RNAcentral.